RNAcentral lists this transfer-messenger RNA (364 nucleotides) under human gut metagenome. It matches the Rfam family "transfer-messenger RNA". Rfam says of the family: Bacterial tmRNA, also known as 10Sa RNA or SsrA, is named for its dual tRNA and mRNA-like properties. Its role is to liberate the mRNA from a stalled ribosome. The record is from RNAcentral.
GGGGGUGUAAAGGUUUCGAUUGCCGGUGAGCGGAAAGAUAAGCAUACCGCAGACGGAGUGGCUGCGUAAAAACAUUCCGAAAAAUUUAAAUGCAGAUAAUAAUGCAGAAUACGCUUUAGCAGCGUAACUUCGUUUUUAAACGAAGCGUCGGCUUUCGUUCGUCCGUCGGCGGAAGAUACGGCGUUAAAAAGGCGGAAAAAUCUUGUGCGGGCUGCGGGAGGAACGCAUAAGAUUAUUAAAUCCCGUGCGGAAUCGGCGGCGCGUUCGUUCGCAACCGAUUUUUAAGAAAAUAAGCGGAAUAAGUAUGUAGAAAGUUUUUUGGCAGCCGAGUAAGACGUGGGUUCGAUUCCCACCACUUCCACCA